Long non-coding RNA from Hippocampus zosterae (dwarf seahorse), 1385 nucleotides. RefSeq lists it as uncharacterized. The transcript is spliced from 3 exons. The record is from RefSeq and is a predicted model, not a curated record. NCBI's taxonomy places the organism in Eukaryota, Metazoa, Chordata, Actinopteri, Syngnathiformes, Syngnathidae.
CCGGACGUUUCGGUCGCCAGGUUGAAGGAAGUGGCACCUAAUAUAAUCUGGUUCAGCAACAGUGUACCUUAAAAAAAACGCCACCUGGAAAUGAAAAAGAAAAUUAGCAAAACUUAAAUACACAAACACCAUUUGCAAUUUGCUUCCAAACAAGCGGUGGCGAGGCUGCGAUCACCUGACCUCGACGGGUCCAGACUCGUGAUGUGAGCCCUGCCUUACUCACAGUCACUCCACAUCUGCCACUGUCACAUUUGUAACACGACAACUUCAAAAAACGCAUAGUAAGGAAAAUGAGUAACUUGCCUAACAUUUCUAACUGUGCAAUCAUGAAAAGACAAUAUGGAAAGCACUAGACUGCUGAGUCACCGGCUCUGAAAAUGUUCCUCCUUCGACAUCAUGGGUUCUUAACGAAGAUGAAGUGAAAAGUUGUUUUCCUCAGAGAAAAUGACAAAGUGCAAGAACACGGCGUAAUCAGGACUGUGACUUAGUGGUCUGAUACGAUUGUCAAUGUACCAUUUGAUAAUCAGGAAUAUAAAUCAUCAUCAACCAAUCAAGCGUUAUUAUGAGAGCACUUUUCACUCAAACAGUUGGAACUCGCCACUGUGAACGGCGGGGUAAAAAGAUGCACCCACUCACCCAACAAAUGAUUGAUGCAGAAAUGUCUUGAAUGAAAAAUAAAACAAAACCCAGCUGUGACUGCCGGAAGAUAAACACGUUCAUCAAGGCUUGCAUAAAGGUUCUUAGGUUUGUUGUUAAAGAUAUGAGCUGUGCUUCUAUCAUCAGGGAGGAUUUUCCACAGGCUUGGACCUUCAACUUAUAAAACUCAGUCUUGUUGAAUGAAUGAAAUCAACCAGUUUUAUGUAUUUUAAACAUUUUUUUAAAUGUGCCUGUGAAUAUUCAAAUGUACUCACGAGGCAAUGAAUGGGAUUUUUUUUAAACAUAAGCAAAAGGAUCACAGGUGAGCAUCAUACAUUUCCAGCAUUUAAGAGAAAAAAAUGCAGAUCUCCAUUUAAUAAAUUUUCUCUUUUCUUAUCCGUUGAAAUAUAGAAAUAUAUUCUGAAAAGGAGACUCAAACGUCCAAAGCUCCAAUGAUCCUAUAUCUCAAAGAGAAGGAUUAAACUGGCUUGUUUAGUUCAACCCGGAAGACUAGCUUGUUAGAAUAACAUUAGCUUGUCAGCUGACGUCACCUGCUUACAAUGCCAUUGGUGGAGAACAAGUCUGACCUGUCUCAAUCGUCACCCAAAUUGAGGUGAACUCAUCCAUUUGCAUCUUAGGGUUUGUUUAUUUACAAAAACACAUGCACACAACAAAGCACCCGAUUUGCAAGAAACAAAACUGUUCAGUUAGAUACCUGCUCAUAAUUUGUAUUAAAAUGUCACUUUUUC